This 253-nucleotide ribosomal RNA is filed under the name uncultured prokaryote. RNAcentral's name for it is "partial 16S ribosomal RNA". It matches the Rfam family "Bacterial small subunit ribosomal RNA", at positions 524 to 776 of the family's 1533-position model. The record is from RNAcentral.
GACGUAGGGCGCGAGCGUUGUCCGGAUUUAUUGGGCGUAAAGAGCUCGUAGGCGGCUUGUCGCGUCGACUGUGAAAGCCCGGGGCUCAACCCCGGAGGGUCGGCUGAUACUGCAGGACUAGAGUACGGAAGAGGUAGCUGGAAUUCCCGGUGUAGCGGUGAAAUGCGUAGAUAUUGGGAGGAACACCAGUGGCGAAGGCGGCUCACUGGACCGGUACUGACGCUGAUGCGCGAAAGCGUGGGGAGCAAACGGG